GCGUUCAUGGUGUAGUGGUCAGCACGCUCGACGCGUAACCGAGAGGUCCAUGGUUUGAUUCCCGGCGAGGGCA
Non-coding RNA from Stegodyphus mimosarum, 73 nucleotides. The record is from Rfam. NCBI's taxonomy places the organism in Eukaryota, Metazoa, Arthropoda, Arachnida, Araneae, Eresidae.